AUGAACGCUGGCGGCGUGCCUAAUACAUGCCAGUCGAGCGAACGGACGAGAAGCUUGCUUCUCUGAUGUUAGCGGCGGACGGGUGAGUAACACGUGGAUAACCUACCUAUAAGACUGGGAUAACUUCGGGAAACCGUAGCUAAUACCGGAUAAUAUUUUGAACCGCAUGGUUCAAAAGUGAAAGACGGUCUUGCUGUCACUUAUAGAUGGAUCCGCGCUGCAUUAGCUAGUUGGUAAGGUAACGGCUUACCAAGGCAACGAUGCAUAGCCGACCUGAGAGGGUGAUCGGCCACACGGGAACUGAGACACGGUCCAGACUCCUACGGGAGGCAGCAGUAGGGAAUCUUCCGCAAUGGGCGAAAGCCUGACGGAGCAACGCCGCGUGAGUGAUGAAGGUCUUCGGAUCGUAAAACUCUGUUAUUAGGGAAGAACAUAUGUGUAAGUAACUGUGCACAUCUUGACGGUACCUAAUCAGAAAGCCACGGCUAACUACGUG
RNAcentral lists this ribosomal RNA (496 nucleotides) under uncultured bacterium. RNAcentral describes it as "partial 16S ribosomal RNA". It matches the Rfam family "Bacterial small subunit ribosomal RNA", at positions 29 to 507 of the family's 1533-position model. The record is from RNAcentral.